Molecule: unclassified non-coding RNA, 253 nt
Filed under: uncultured Parcubacteria group bacterium
Lineage: Bacteria
Description: contains 16S-23S intergenic spacer region
Rfam family: Bacterial small subunit ribosomal RNA
Source: RNAcentral
UACAGAGGCCUCAAGCGUUAUCCGGAGUUAUUGGGCGUAAAGGGUGUGUAGGUGGUUAUAUUAGUCUUGUGUUAAAUCUUCGGGCUCAACCCGAAAACCGCAUAGGAAACGGUAUAACUAGAGGAUGCGAGAGGUGUACGGAACUCAUGGAGUAGGGGUGAAAUCCGUUGAUAUCAUGGGGAACACCAAAAGCGAAGGCAGUACACUGGCGUAUUCCUGACACUGAAACACGAAAGCUAGGGUAGCGAACGGG